GUGAAUCAUCGAAUCUUUGAACGCACCUUGCGCCCUCUGGUAUUCCGGAGAGCAUCCCCGGUUGCGUACUAUGAUCAUCUCAAACCUUGCGCUUCUGAUUUCAAAGGUCCCGUGUCCGGCGAAGCUGUCAUCGAGGCGGUGGUAGCUGGACUUGGGCUCGAAGCGUGUGGUCUUGGACUUGAGCGACUGUCGGUCCUCUUGGAUCGACUCGCUAGAAAUGUAUUAGCUGGCGACCCGCCUUACGGUUCCACUCGGCGUAGUAAGUCUUAUUCGUCGAUGACAAACUUAGGAGAUGGCCGAUGGGUUCGGUGUGAUGCCGCUUCCAGUCGUCUUUGGACAACUUUGAACCUUUAAUCUCAACUCGGGUAGGACUACCCGCUGAACUUAAGCAUAUCAAUAAGCGGAGGAAAAGA
Molecule: ribosomal RNA, 413 nt
Filed under: Tulasnellaceae sp. CBS 298.32
Lineage: Eukaryota; Fungi; Basidiomycota; Agaricomycetes; Cantharellales; Tulasnellaceae
Description: eukaryotic LSU rRNA
Rfam family: Eukaryotic large subunit ribosomal RNA (bases 352-413)
Source: RNAcentral